RNAcentral lists this ribosomal RNA (446 nucleotides) under uncultured bacterium. RNAcentral's name for it is "partial 16S ribosomal RNA". It matches the Rfam family "Bacterial small subunit ribosomal RNA", at positions 338 to 795 of the family's 1533-position model. The record is from RNAcentral.
CCUACGGGAGGCAGCAGUCGAGAAUCAUUCACAAUGGGGGAAACCCUGAUGGUGCGACGCCGCGUGGGGGAAUGAAGGUCUUCGGAUUGUAAACCCCUGUCCUGUGGGAGCAAAUUAAAAAGAUAGUACCACAAGAGGAAGAGACGGCUACCUCUGUGCCAGCAGCCGCGGUAAUACAGAGGUCUCAAGCGUUGUUCGGAGUCACUGGGCGUAAAGCGUGCGUAGGCUGUUUCGUAAGUCGUGUGUGAAAGGCACGGGCUCAACCCGCGGACGGCACAUGAUACUGCGAGACUAGAGUAAUGGGGGGGGAACCGGAAUGCUCGGUGGAGCAGGGAAAGGCGUAGAUAUCGAGAGGAACACUCGUGGCGAAGGCGGGUUCCUGGACAUUAACUGACGCUGAGGCACGAAGGCCAGGGGAGCGAAAGGGAUUAGAUACCCUUGUAGUC